RNAcentral lists this long non-coding RNA (2509 nucleotides) under Heterocephalus glaber (naked mole-rat). Its description in RNAcentral is "lncRNA (ENSHGLG00100045043.1)". Lineage: Eukaryota; Metazoa; Chordata; Mammalia; Rodentia; Bathyergidae. The record is from RNAcentral.
GCCCCUGUUCCCACCUAGACAGUAACCUAAUACUCGCUCACCUCCUACCACCUAGUGACAUCACCGGCUCCUCCAUUCCCUAGUCACUACCUCAUUCAACCCUGCCUCAGCCCCUACAAGCCCCACCCCAGUCUCUAUAAAAGACUCUCCCUGCCCCAGCCAUAUUGCUUUUGUCUCUCCUUUGUUCAGAGACAGCCCGGCAGAUCUAUUCCCCUAAUAAAGGCUUGUUGUGGCCUGGUCUGGUCUUGGUCUUCGGCCCUUUUACCUGACAUUUCUGGUGCCGUGACUCGGAUGGUAGAUGGUCCAUUAAGGGACGAUCCCCCGCAGGACGGGGUUGAUUGACCUUUUGGCCAUCUCCAACGGACCUAUCUGCCGUUGCCAGGACCCUCCGGGGCUUUCUACCUUUGCCAUUGCUGACGCUACACAUCCACACCGGUCACCAAUGUCUGGAAACGAUUGAGGACAUUCACCAGCCAGACAGUCACAGAGUUCAUCAUGGCAGGGAACCAGCCAGUACGGCAAAAGGAAGAGGUCCCCACUUGCCACUGACCUCAUCAGAUCCAGGUCUAGCCCCGAUCUUCGCCCCUUGUCAGCAGAAAGCAGCUCCAAAAAAAGAGACCUUCGCCCAACUAUCAUAAAACAAAAGCCUGGAAUGAUAGGUCUCCCACCACCUCAGCAGCUAUUAAAUAUAGUAGCUGCCCUCUUCCUAUGGUGCCUUGCCCCCUCCCCUGUGUGACAUCAUGCCAAGAUGGUUGCUCCCACCAAAGAACAAACCCUUCUUCCCAGCAUGCCCCUGUUCCCACCUAGACAGUAACCUAAUACUCGCUCACCUCCUACCACCUAGUGACAUCACCGGCUCCUCCAUUCCCUAGUCACUACCUCAUUCAACCCUGCCUCAGCCCCUACAAGCCCCACCCCAGUCUCUAUAAAAGACUCUCCCUGCCCCAGCCAUAUUGCUUUUGUCUCUCCUUUGUUCAGAGACAGCCCGGCAGAUCUAUUCCCCUAAUAAAGGCUUGUUGUGGCCUGGUCUGGUCUUGGUCUUCGGCCCUUUUACCUGACAGUGAGUAUGGGGUAUCCUUUUAGGUUUUAGGUACAAAAUGAGACCCUAUCUCAAAAAAACAAAAAAGAGAAACAUAUGUACCACUCCCAUUUAUGGGUUGGGACCCUGGUAUCUAGUAGUUCUUUGUUUUUUUACCUGUAAUGCUGCUACUAAAUGGACUUUCCCCCUAGAGUCCUUAGUACUCUUCUGCUUUUGCUCUGUCACUGCUGCACACAUUAAUGUAUUUUGUAAUCCAUAAUUUUUAUUGUCAAUGAUGUUGUCUGUAUUGUUGACUACCUUGUAUAGAGUUUUCUCUUUACUAACAGAAGACCUAGAGGAAAGAACAAACCCAUUUGUGUAUUUUUCUUGGUUCUUCCCUUCUCUUCCUCCAUGACUAGCCCUGUACCAAAUCCUUGCCAUAUCUGACUAGAAGGCUGUCCUCAACUUGAGGCAACUUAGUGGGCCACCACUAUUUCCCUAGCCUGUCAUACCUCCAGAAGUGCUGACUCUUUUAAUAGGCCUCAGAUGGGACCACAGUGGUAGGUUUUCUCCUAAGACACCAGGGAGCUCUUCCUUUGAUUCAGAUAGCAACUAUGGAUAUCUCAGACCCUGGAUUGCUUUUUAUUUUAUUGUACUGGGAACUGAACUCAGGACCUUGCACUUGCCAGGCAAGCGUGGCACCACUGAGCUACAUCCUUAGUCCUGGAUUGCUUUUAAUCACAGCUAAAAAUCUAUCUAAUUUAGGUCCUUUUGUACAGAUGACGAUUUUCAGGCAGUUUAUUCUCUUAAGCACAGAGACUUUGCAAGUGCUAGAAAGAGAGUUUGUCUUCCCUGUUUCAAACCAUAAAGACUUCAAUACUCUGAUUUCCUAUGAGGGAGAAGCUGAGCUGGACCUAGAUGUAACAUGGUCCCAAAGACUUGACUCAGAAACAGUUUCAAUUAAGUGUUCUUAAGUCACCUUCUGUUUAUGUCUCAAGUCUACAAAAAAAAUGUGUGGGUUUCAUGCCCUUUAAUUAUUUGGGGAAAAAAACUUCCAUAGAAAUAUAAGAUACAUAUUUUAUGAGCAACUUGGGGUUUUUUAAUAUGUAAAUCCUACUAAAGACUAUGGUUUAUUUUUUGUGUACUGCUGGAUUGCAUAACAUACAGAAAACUCUCUGGCGUUUUACUUCACAAGAAAACAAGAGACAAUGUGAUUCUAGAAGUAGCAGAGGAAGUAGGGAUACAUUAAAUCAGUCGAGCUAAGGCCACGUAACUUCAGAGGUGAACAGCAAAAGAUCUGAGGGCUGCACCUCCAAGGGAUGAAACGACUCAGCCUCCUGCCUACUACUCUCCCACCACAAGAUGGCAGGAUUCCCCUUGCCCGAAAUCUUCCAUAAAAGGAUAAGUGAUUUCCAGAGUGUGUAUCUUCUUUUGUGCUUAAUAAUGGUGUCAGACUGUCUUGUGUAUGACAUCAUCUAUGUUUCUAGGAAC